AUACGUAGGGGGCAAGCGUUAUCCGGAUUUACUGGGUGUAAAGGGAGCGUAGGCGGCGAAGCAAGUCAGAUGUGAAAAUCCAGUGCUCAACAUUGGACGUGCAUUUGAAACUGUUUAGCUAGAGUACCGGAGAGGUAAGAGGAAUUCCUAGUGUAGCGGUGAAAUGCGUAGAUAUUAGGAGGAACACCAGUGGCGAAGGCGUCUUACUGGACGGAUACUGACGCUGAGGCUCGAAAGCGUGGGGAGCAAACAGGAUUAGAUACCCUGGUAGUCCACGCUGUAAACGAUGAUUACUAGGUGUGGGGGGACUGACCCCUUCCGUGCCGCAGUUAACACAAUAAGUAAUCCACCUGGGGAGUACGGCCGCAAGGUUGAAACUCAAAUGAAUUGACGGGG
Molecule: ribosomal RNA, 396 nt
Filed under: uncultured bacterium
Lineage: Bacteria
Description: partial 16S ribosomal RNA
Rfam family: Bacterial small subunit ribosomal RNA
Source: RNAcentral